Molecule: unclassified non-coding RNA, 207 nt
Filed under: Hevea brasiliensis (rubber tree)
Lineage: Eukaryota; Viridiplantae; Streptophyta; Magnoliopsida; Malpighiales; Euphorbiaceae
Source: RNAcentral
GUCUGUGCACCCGGAUAGCCCUGGGCUUCGUAUCGAGGCUGAGUAUUGUACCCGGGACCAGUUUGUGGACCUGUAUAACUCUGCGCUUCAUUCCUUGGUUCAGUACUGUACCCGGGAGCAGCUGGACUAGGAUACCCUUGAGCUUCAUAUCUAGCUCCACCACCAUAAGCAGCAGCAGAGUUUGGAUAACCUUGACCUUCUUGUCUU